AUUGAACGCUGGCGGCAUGCCUUACACAUGCAAGUCGAACGGCAGCACGGGAGCAAUCCUGGUGGCGAGUGGCGAACGGGUGAGUAAUACAUCGGAACGUGCCCAAUCGUGGGGGAUAACGCAGCGAAAGCUGUGCUAAUACCGCAUACGAUCUACGGAUGAAAGCAGGGGAUCGCAAGACCUUGCGCGAAUGGAGCGGCCGAUGGCAGAUUAGGUAGUUGGUGAGGUAAAGGCUCACCAAGCCGUCGAUCUGUAGCUGGUCUGAGAGGACGACCAGCCACACUGGGACUGAGACACGGCCCAGACUCCUACGGGAGGCAGCAGUGGGGAAUUUUGGACAAUGGGCGAAAGCCUGAUCCAGCCAUGCCGCGUGCAGGAUGAAGGCCUUCGGGUUGUAAACUGCUUUUGUACGGAACGAAACGGCCUUUUCUAAUAAAGAGGGCUAAUGACGGUACCGUAAGAAUAAGCACCGGCUAACUACGUGCCAGCAGCCGCGGUAAUACGUAGGGUGCAAGCGUUAAUCGGAAUUACUGGGCGUAAAGCGUGCGCAGGCGGUUAUGUAAGACAGUUGUGAAAUCCCCGGGCUCAACCUGGGAACUGCAUCUGUGACUGCAUAGCUAGAGUACGGUAGAGGGGGAUGGAAUUCCGCGUGUAGCAGUGAAAUGCGUAGAUGUGCGGAGGAACACCGAUGGCGAAGGCAAUCCCCUGGACCUGUACUGACGCUCAUGCACGAAAGCGUGGGGAGCAAACAGG
Molecule: ribosomal RNA, 753 nt
Filed under: uncultured Comamonadaceae bacterium
Lineage: Bacteria; Pseudomonadati; Pseudomonadota; Betaproteobacteria; Burkholderiales; Comamonadaceae
Description: bacterial SSU rRNA
Rfam family: Bacterial small subunit ribosomal RNA
Source: RNAcentral